GGGGAUGUUCCGGUUUCGACGGGGUCAUUGAAUGUGCAAUAGCGAGUCGUUUUCGUCGAUAAACGUAAAAAAAAGACAACUAAAUUUAAACGCAGAAGAUAAUAAUUUUGCAUUAGCUGCCUAACAACAGCUAUGAUCACUUUCGAGUUGCCUACAGCUUGAAUUUUGAUCUCAAUUAAUGUAGGCUUCCAAGGUUAAGUAAGCUUUGCCUUUUCCUUGAUGUAUAGAUGAAGCUACCGAUCUGUAAAUUUUGUUUAUUGAAUGCACAGAUGGGGAAUAAAAUUCAAUAAACUGCACUCGGAGAAUUUGCAUUGGAUAUUUCCUCGGACGCGGGUUCGACUCCCGCCAUCUCCACCA
This 357-nucleotide transfer-messenger RNA is filed under the name Tissierellia bacterium. It matches the Rfam family "transfer-messenger RNA". Rfam says of the family: Bacterial tmRNA, also known as 10Sa RNA or SsrA, is named for its dual tRNA and mRNA-like properties. Its role is to liberate the mRNA from a stalled ribosome. Lineage: Bacteria; Bacillati; Bacillota; Tissierellia. The record is from RNAcentral.